AUCGCUUACUGGCCUUUUGGCUAAGACCAAGAGUA
RNAcentral lists this small nuclear RNA (35 nucleotides) under Cervus elaphus hippelaphus. The record is from RNAcentral. Lineage: Eukaryota; Metazoa; Chordata; Mammalia; Artiodactyla; Cervidae.